GGCAAUUGUCUCGAGGUUACCAUCUUAAUGUUGGAGAUGACUGAGUUCGAGUGUAAUGAUGUAGUUUCUGAAUUUUGUCUCCUGUUAGGUCUGGUACCUUGGUUUUGGGUUCUGCAGAUGAAUCAAUUCAGAGACUCGGAUAUUGAACUGUAAACCACAUAUAGACAUAAACACAUUGCAUCAUGUUUCAGCAAAAACAAGAACAUAUAAACAUAUAUAAGAAUUAGAAGCACCAACCUUGGUUAUUCAUGUUCAAAGCCAUCAAGCUGGAGCAGAGGAAGUCUUCUGUGUAAUUCUCCAGAUUGUCUUUUCACAGUGAGUAUGAAAAACUUACAGGCGUAGUAUGAGCUUACACAGGGACCCCUUUAUAUAUUGACAAGUUCAUUUAGAAUCUCAUCUCACAAGGCAACUCUAAUAAACCAAUCAAUUACCUUAUGUGAUAACUAUAACAUAUAUUCUAUGUUAUCUCAAACUCCUUGUAUUUAUCUAAUCAGAUUACUAAGAUAAAUAUCCAAGUUAAGUAUUAUCGAUUAACCUCAUUUACUUAUUUCACAAGAUGUUUAUAUAUGUUGGACUCUCAUGUGUUAAUCUUGAGUCCACAUUAGAUAUAACUCUAACAUCGGAGGCAGUGACCUUUUUAUUAGGUGUAUGCCUUUACUUUGGUUUUCGGCUUGUCUGAUUCAACCACUCAUGUACGGCUGAAACCUAAGCCUUUUCAAACCAUUCUGGUUAAUUGACCAGUUAUCAAAAACAAGAACUUUGGUGAAA
RNAcentral lists this long non-coding RNA (768 nucleotides) under Fragaria vesca (wild strawberry). Its description in RNAcentral is "long non-coding RNA (FVES_LNC001637)". The record is from RNAcentral. Lineage: Eukaryota; Viridiplantae; Streptophyta; Magnoliopsida; Rosales; Rosaceae.